Molecule: ribosomal RNA, 640 nt
Filed under: uncultured bacterium
Lineage: Bacteria
Description: bacterial SSU rRNA
Rfam family: Bacterial small subunit ribosomal RNA
Source: RNAcentral
GAAAGAUUCAUCGGAAGAGGAUGGGCAUGCGGCGCAUUAGCUAGACGGCGGGGUAACGGCCCACCGUGGCGACGAUGCGUAGGGGUUCUGAGAGGAAGGUCCCCCACACUGGUACUGAGACACGGACCAGACUCCUACGGGAGGCAGCAGUGAGGAAUAUUGGUCAAUGGGAGAGAUCCUGAACCAGCCAAGCCGCGUGAGGGAAGACGGCCCUAUGGGUUGUAAACCUCUUUUGUCGGAGAACAAAACCCGGGACGAGUCCCGGACUGCGUGUAUCCGAAGAAAAAGCAUCGGCUAACUCCGUGCCAGCAGCCGCGGUAAUACGGAGGAUGCGAGCGUUAUCCGGAUUUAUUGGGUUUAAAGGGUGCGUAGGCGGUCUGUUAAGUCAGCGGUAAAAUUGCGGGGCUCAACCCCGCCGAGCCGUUGAAACUGGCAGACUUGAGUUGGCGAGAAGUACGCGGAAUGCGCGGUGUAGCGGUGAAAUGCAUAGAUAUCGCGCAGAACUCCGAUUGCGAAGGCAGCGUACCGGCGCCAGACUGACGCUGAGGCACGAAAGCGUGGGGAUCGAACAGGAUUAGAUACCCUGGUAGUCCACGCAGUAAACGAUGAAUGCUGGUUGUCCGGGUCGAAUGAGACCUGG